AUGUUGUAUUUAGCUAGCAGUAGAAAUCCCCUUGUCGUUCCUGAAACUUUUGGUGAUUCUGAACAUCCUGCAACAUCUUGUGUGGUGGCAGAAGUUGGAGCAAAAAGAGAUGAAGGGGCCGCAACAGCGAAGAUGAGGAUGCGGCAGUUUGACAAUGCGCCGGCGGCGAGGCGUACUAGCGAGGGGAGGGGAGACCGAGACGGCUCAGUAGCGGCCGCAGGAGCCAAGGCGGUUCUUGCGAAGAGUACCCGGAGUGCGCAGCGUGCUACUUCAAUCUCUAGGUUUCACGGAUCAUCAGCAAGACUUUUCAGACGACGAGUAAGAAGCCUUAGGUCGUGGUCUUAUACUCAGUGUUGCCGUUGGAGUUGA
RNAcentral lists this ribosomal RNA (369 nucleotides) under Triticum aestivum (bread wheat). RNAcentral's name for it is "partial small subunit ribosomal RNA". Lineage: Eukaryota; Viridiplantae; Streptophyta; Magnoliopsida; Poales; Poaceae. The record is from RNAcentral.